UGGUUCAGAUGGUAGAGAAUCUGCCUGCAAUGCAGGAGACCCAGGUUCGAUCCCUGG
RNAcentral lists this transfer RNA (57 nucleotides) under Bos taurus (domestic cattle). It matches the Rfam family "tRNA", at positions 8 to 63 of the family's 71-position model. Rfam says of the family: Transfer RNA (tRNA) molecules are approximately 80 nucleotides in length. Their secondary structure includes four short double-helical elements and three loops (D, anti-codon, and T loops). RNAcentral also lists the same sequence under 6 other names. The record is from Rfam by way of RNAcentral. Lineage: Eukaryota; Metazoa; Chordata; Mammalia; Artiodactyla; Bovidae.